This 169-nucleotide small nuclear RNA is filed under the name Vombatus ursinus (common wombat). RNAcentral's name for it is "U2 spliceosomal RNA (ENSVURG00010008561.1)". It matches the Rfam family "U2 spliceosomal RNA". Rfam says of the family: U2 is a small nuclear RNA (snRNA) component of the spliceosome (involved in pre-mRNA splicing). Complementary binding between U2 snRNA (in an area lying towards the 5' end but 3' to hairpin I) and the branchpoint sequence (BPS) of the intron results the bulging out of an unpaired adenosine, on the BPS, which initiates a nucleophilic attack at the intronic 5' splice site, thus starting the first of two transesterification reactions that mediate splicing. The record is from Rfam by way of RNAcentral. Lineage: Eukaryota; Metazoa; Chordata; Mammalia; Diprotodontia; Vombatidae.
AAAAAUUCUUGCCCUUUUGGCUAAGAUCAAGGGUAGUAUCUGUUCUUAUCAGUUUAAUAUCUGAUAUGUUCUCUAUCUGAGGACAAUAUAUUAAAUAGAUUUUUGAAAAAAGGAGCUUGCUUCAAAAAUUAUAUUGAGGAGCUUGCUUCAAAAAUUAUAUUGAAGCAGC